UACGUAGGGGGCAAGCGUUGUCCGGAUUUAUUGGGCGUAAAGAGCGUGUAGGCGGCUGCACAGGUCCGUUGUGAAAACUGGAGGCUCAACCUUCAGACGUCGAUGGAAACCGUGCGGCUAGAGUCCGGAAGAGGAGAGUGGAAUUCCUGGUGUAGCGGUGAAAUGCGCAGAUAUCAGGAAGAACACCCGUGGCGAAGGCGGCUCUCUGGGACGGUACUGACGCUGAGACGCGAAAGCGUGGGGAGCGAACAGG
Molecule: ribosomal RNA, 253 nt
Filed under: uncultured bacterium
Lineage: Bacteria
Description: partial 16S ribosomal RNA
Rfam family: Bacterial small subunit ribosomal RNA
Source: RNAcentral